Molecule: unclassified non-coding RNA, 3148 nt
Filed under: Hevea brasiliensis (rubber tree)
Lineage: Eukaryota; Viridiplantae; Streptophyta; Magnoliopsida; Malpighiales; Euphorbiaceae
Source: RNAcentral
AUACAAUUUACUUAUGAAUUAAAUGGAUAAAACUGAAAGCAUAGACACGAUUGCCAAAAACGAAUAUAGUUUAAAUAUCGAUUCAUUUAAAAUCCCAUAUAAAUAGAGCUUUGACUAAUUUUUAUUCUUUCACGAAUCUAUUAACUGCUAACAAAUACAGUUGACAUAGGAAUAGGAAACUACUACGAGUAAAUAAUCUCCUCUCCCUGUAACUGAGUUAAAUUACGAUCAUCAAAAUUUUCACAUCACUCCAGCAACUUUAAUAUACAGAGAAAUAACAGAGCCUAUGCUUCAAAUACUUCUUUAGCUUUAGAAUUCACCUCCAUAAGGGUGAGGGCUAGUCAGGUAUGUCUACCAUGCUACCUUAUUCGAACAUAACAACUAUAGUUAUUACAUGAGCUAUUUUGGCCACCAACAAAAUCUUUCCUCUUGAGUCUUGAUGUUGAGAUUUUGAAUUUGCUGAAAAUAUGACAGGUUUUUAUAUUACCCGUUACACUUCUAAACUGAUGAUGCCUCCAACGUUUAGGUUUCAGCUAAUGACAUAACUUUUCCUUUCAUUCUUCUGUGAUCAUAUUUUCUGGUGCUGAUGAUGCAACGGAAGAGUACUGCAGUGGUGUGCUUGAAACAAACAGGAGAGGCUUCGGUGGAAUUUGCAGGGAUUGAACAUUAACUUCCAACAUCUCUAAUACCUUUGUCAUUGAAGGUCUAUCUGAUGGAUUUGUCUGAAUGCACCACAAGCCCACUAUGAUCAUCCUUCUUAUCGUUUCUUCUUCUUCUGUUGUUAUGUUUCUAUGAAGUCUAGAAAUCUCUCCUGAUUCAAUGUGUUUAUAUAUCCAAUUUGGGAAGUAUAUAUCGCUGGUGUCAGAAACUCCUGCUUCAGUGUUGUUUUUUCCUCCAAAGAUUUCAAUAAUCAUCAUUCCAUAACUAUACACAUCAGACUUAUACGAAACCCCUCCAUAGCUUCUCAUGAAUACUUCUGGAGCUAUAUACCCAGCUGUCCCUCUCGCACCCAACAUCGACACCAUACUUUCCUUUCCCUUGCAUAAUUUUGCAAGACCAAAAUCAGAGAUUUUAGGACAAAAAUUUUCAUCUAGAAGAAUGUUAUGAGGUUUUAUGUCAAAAUGCACAAUCCUUGUAUUACAACCUCUAUGCAAAUACUCUAAACCUCUAGCAGUGCCAAUUGCAAUGUCAUAUAACAUUUUCCACCCUAAAUCACAGUUAUCAUGCUGAGAUCCUGGAUCAUUUAUGAACUUAUCUAAAGAUCCAUUGGGCAUGUAUUUAUAGAUCAAAGCUCUUCUAGUCCUCUCAUAGCAAAACCCUAAAAGAGUAACUAUAUUUACAUGGGAAGUUCUACUAAUGCUUCCAACUUCAUUAAUGAAUUCUUCCCCCUCACCUGUAGACUUGCUUAGAACUUUUAUGGCCACAAAGCGACCAUCUGGUAAUUUUCCUUUGUAUACACCUCCAAAUCCUCCUUCACCUAGCUUAUGGAUGAAUGAGUUGGUCAUUUUCUUUAUAUCUGCGUAUGAAUAUCGCUUUGGCAUGAGAGAAGGAUAGUUCAUAAUAAAUGCCUCUAUCUUUUCAUCUUCUUUACUAUUUUCCCACAACAAUGUCUUUACUUUGUCACUGCAAAAUCCUCGUCUUCUAAUAAAACAAUAGUAGCAUCCAAUACAAACAAUGACAAUAGUAGUGGCUGCUAUAGCAAGUCCUGGAAUGAAUCAGAUUUUCGUGUUACUAACCCUGCAUAAAAUUAAAGCUAAAAUAUGUCUAAAAAUUGUUGGUAAAGAACCUGACCUAUUCCCAGCGAAGUUCGAUUAGAUUUGCCCCCUGCAAGAAUCAUGAGAAACAUGAAUGACUCAUUGAAAUUAUAUUCAGUUGGGAGAUAUUUCCACCUAACCAAAAGCACUCUAAGACAUGCCUUAUGUUGAUUAUCUUAAUUGAUAUCGCUCAAGUAUGAAUUAACCGUGAUUUGAAUAGACUAUAUGGACAUGCAGAUCAUUGGCUCAAACAAUCCAACACUGUAAAUGAAGCAGCUGAGUGACAGGGAAACCAGAAUACAAUUUGACCACGAUUUCUAUUUAGUUCAAUUUUAUGUAUCACCAGGAAUACAACUACCUUUGCAGACUUGUUAUGAUUGCUUAAGAGCCAUAAGGGCAAGUAACAAAUGAAUUUAACAUUUACAGCACCCAGAAAGCAACAAUCGAAAUCCAAAAACGUUCAAGAGACAAACAAAGGAAGGUUUAUCAAAUGAAGACUUAAUAUUCCUGUAGAUAAAUUUCAGGAAAGAAGCCAGAACAGAGCAUACCAUCUUUGGCUGAGGAUGUUGCACAGGUGAACGGAUAACGCUGGCCAGGACAAUAACAAGUAAAUGCACUUGCAGUGGAGUUGUAACCACACAGCCCACCGGACAAUUCACAUGAUUUACACAAGGUAUCAUUUGCAGUCCACUGCAACCCAAAACCCUGUUCAAGAACUUCAACCAAAUUCUCCUCUGUUGGAUUGCUCUCUAUGCGUUGAACAACUGAUUGAUUUGCAGGAACAAUAAGACGACUGCCGCACGUUCUCAAGUAAGUGCUAAUUACGGUGGGAAAGCUAUCUGCGUGCCUUGUCAAAUAAAAAUUUUGGCUAUUGACGCUGCUUAAGUUGCAAGAAAACGGAGAGGAAAACCCUGGAGUUGUGGGAAAUGACAUGUUGGUGUUGGGGCAGCCAUAGAACAGAGUUAUAUUCUGAAUAUCAGCAGCAUAAGUGAAAAGAUUGGGGUCCAAAGUGGUGUUGGAAAGGACACUGGGACAGAGAUUUGCUAUGUAAUCUGCUCUGGCAACUGUGAGAGUCUGUGACUGGCUAUUGAUCUUAAGGACUUGGUAAGUUAAAUUCAUGAUUGUGAUCUCUGCCGCUUGGCCUUUGCAAUUAAGCUGGAACCCCAAGUGGCCACAGUAACUUGGCUGAUUGGAUCCCCAGAAAGGAUAGGCAACACCCGAAAGGUUUCCGCACUGAAAUGAGGAGCUGCAGUUUCUGCUUUGCUCAUCAGCUUGGGCAAACACACGGGUCGGAUUACGAAUAUUUAAGAUUAUGGUCAUGAAUAUGAAUAUGAAGAACACAGCCAUGGCCUGGAGGAGAUUGGGCUGCAUUGAAAGAGAGAGAGAGAGAAGAA